GUCUACAGCCAUACCACCCUGUACGCGCCCGAGCUUGUCUGAUCUGGGAAGCUAAGCAGGGUCGGGCCUGGUUAGUACUUGGAUGGGAGAAAAGAGACAAGGGCUUUGUUGAAU
Ribosomal RNA from Chlorocebus sabaeus (green monkey), 114 nucleotides. The record is from Ensembl. Lineage: Eukaryota; Metazoa; Chordata; Mammalia; Primates; Cercopithecidae.